RNAcentral lists this ribosomal RNA (253 nucleotides) under uncultured bacterium. RNAcentral's name for it is "partial 16S ribosomal RNA". It matches the Rfam family "Bacterial small subunit ribosomal RNA", at positions 524 to 776 of the family's 1533-position model. The record is from RNAcentral.
UACAGAGGGUGCAAGCGUUGUCCGGAAUCACUGGGCGUAAAGGGCGCGUAGGCGGCGCGAGCAGUCAACGGUGAAAGCCCGGAGCUCAACUCCGGGUCGGCCGUCGAUACUCUCGUGCUUGAGCACUGUAGAGGCAGGUGGAAUUCCGGGUGUAGCGGUGGAAUGCGUAGAGAUCCGGAAGAACACCAGUGGCGAAGGCGGCCUGCUAGGCAGUAGCUGACGCUGAUGCGCGACAGCGUGGGGAGCAAACAGG